This 229-nucleotide long non-coding RNA is filed under the name Brassica rapa (field mustard). Its description in RNAcentral is "long non-coding RNA (BRAP_LNC004408)". The record is from RNAcentral. Lineage: Eukaryota; Viridiplantae; Streptophyta; Magnoliopsida; Brassicales; Brassicaceae.
CUAAUCCGAACCAAAUCCUCAAAGAUUUAAACUGAACACAAAAUCCUAAAAAAACCCGAAAACUAACCCGAACACCCACCCUUAUAUGUGUCAUCAUAGGUUACAAAAUAUGUGUUAUCGUAUAAUUAAUCGUAUUUUAUGCGUACCAUGAAAUAAGUUUUCUUAUAAUUAAUAAUAUUUUAUACGUACAAUCAUAUAAAUAAUCUCAUAUAUUAUAUUUUAAAAUUUA